Molecule: non-coding RNA, 125 nt
Organism: Triticum aestivum (bread wheat)
Lineage: Eukaryota; Viridiplantae; Streptophyta; Magnoliopsida; Poales; Poaceae
Source: Rfam
AUUAUACUCCCUCCGUUCCGAAAUACUUGUCAGAUAAAUGUAUAAAAACGGAUGCAUAUAAAAUUAAAAUAUGUCUAGAUACAUUCAUGUCUCCGAUAAGUAUUACCGGAGGGAGGGAGUAUUUA